This 492-nucleotide ribosomal RNA is filed under the name uncultured bacterium. Its description in RNAcentral is "partial 16S ribosomal RNA". It matches the Rfam family "Bacterial small subunit ribosomal RNA", at positions 29 to 507 of the family's 1533-position model. The record is from RNAcentral.
AGUGAACGCUGGCGGUAGGCCUAACACAUGCAAGUCGAACGGCAGCACAGUAAGAGCUUGCUCUUACGAGUGGCGAGUGGCGGACGGGUGAGGAAUACAUCGGAAUCUACUUUUUCGUGGGGGAUAACGUAGGGAAACUUACGCUAAUACCGCAUACGACCUACGGGUGAAAGCAGGGGAUCUUCGGACCUUGCGCGAUUGAAUGAGCCGAUGUCGGAUUAGCUAGUUGGCGGGGUAAAGGCCCACCAAGGCGACGAUCCGUAGCUGGUCUGAGAGGAUGAUCAGCCACACUGGAACUGAGACACGGUCCAGACUCCUACGGGAGGCAGCAGUGGGGAAUAUUGGACAAUGGGCGCAAGCCUGAUCCAGCCAUACUGCGUGGGUGAAGAAGGCCUUCGGGUUGUAAAGCCCUUUUGUUGGGAAAGAAAAGCAGCAGGUUAAUACCCCGCUGUUCUGACGGUACCCAAAGAAUAAGCACCGGCUAACUUCGUG